GAACGCGAAGAACCUUACCAAGUCUUGACAUACUGUGAGGACACAAGAGAUUGUGUUGUUCUGACCUAUGGUUAGACACAGAUACAGGUGGUGCAUGGUUGUCGUCAGCUCGUGUCGUGAGAUGUUGGGUUAAGUCCCGCAACGAGCGCAACCCCUAUGUCUAGUUGCCAGCAGUAAGAUGGGGACUCUAGACAGACUGCCAGUGAUAAACUGGAGGAAGGCGGGGAUGACGUCAAAUCAUCAUGCCCCUUAUGACUUGGGCUACACACGUGCUACAAUGGAUAGGAACAAAGAGAAGCUAACUCGCGAGAGCAAGCAAACCUCAUAAAACUAUUCUCAGUUCGGAUUGUAGUCUGCAACUCGACUACAUGAAGCUGGAAUCGCUAGUAAUCGCGAAUCAGAAUGUCGCGGUGAAUACGUUCCCGGGUCUUGUACACACC
RNAcentral lists this ribosomal RNA (440 nucleotides) under uncultured bacterium. RNAcentral's name for it is "bacterial SSU rRNA". It matches the Rfam family "Bacterial small subunit ribosomal RNA", at positions 957 to 1391 of the family's 1533-position model. The record is from RNAcentral.